UUAAGCGACUAAGCGUACACGGUGGAUGCCCUGGCAGUCAGAGGCGAUGAAGGACGUGCUAAUCUGCGAUAAGCGUCGGUGAGGUGAUAUGAACCGUUAUAACCGGCGAUUUCCGAAUGGGGAAACCCAGUGUGUUUCGACACACUAUCAUUAACUGAAUCCAUAGGUUAAUGAGGCGAACCGGGGGAACUGAAACAUCUAAGUACCCCGAGGAAAAGAAAUCAACCGAGAUUCCCCCAGUAGCGGCGAGCGAACGGGGAGGAGCCCAGAGCCUGAAUCAGUGUGUGUGUUAGUGGAAGCGUCUGGAAAGGCGCGCGAUACAGGGUGACAGCCCCGUACACAAAAAUGCACAUAUUGUGAGCUCGAUGAGUAGGGCGGGACACGUGGUAUCCUGUCUGAAUAUGGGGGGACCAUCCUCCAAGGCUAAAUACUCCUGACUGACCGAUAGUGAACCAGUACCGUGAGGGAAAGGCGAAAAGAACCCCGGCGAGGGGAGUGAAAAAGAACCUGAAACCGUGUACGUACAAGCAGUGGGAGCCUCUUUAUGGGGUGACUGCGUACCUUUUGUAUAAUGGGUCAGCGACUUAUAUUCUGUAGCAAGGUUAACCGAAUAGGGGAGCCGAAGGGAAACCGAGUCUUAACUGGGCGUUAAGUUGCAGGGUAUAGACCCGAAACCCGGUGAUCUAGCCAUGGGCAGGUUGAAGGUUGGGUAACACUAACUGGAGGACCGAACCGACUAAUGUUGAAAAAUUAGCGGAUGACUUGUGGCUGGGGGGGAAAGGCCAAUCAAACCGGGAGAUAGCUGGUUCUCCCCGAAAGCUAUUUAGGUAGCGCCUCGUGAAUUCAUCUCCGGGGGUAGAGCACUGUUUCGGCAAGGGGGUCAUCCCGACUUACCAACCCGAUGCAAACUGCGAAUACCGGAGAAUGUUAUCACGGGAGACACACGGCGGGUGCUAACGUCCGUCGUGAAGAGGGAAACAACCCAGACCGCCAGCUAAGGUCCCAAAGUCAUGGUUAAGUGGGAAACGAUGUGGGAAGGCCCAGACAGCCAGGAUGUUGGCUUAGAAGCAGCCAUCAUUUAAAGAAAGCGUAAUAGCUCACUGGUCGAGUCGGCCUGCGCGGAAGAUGUAACGGGGCUAAACCAUGCACCGAAGCUGCGGCAGCGACACUAUGUGUUGUUGGGUAGGGGAGCGUUCUGUAAGCCUGUGAAGGUGGCCUGUGAGGGUUGCUGGAGGUAUCAGAAGUGCGAAUGCUGACAUAAGUAACGAUAAAGCGGGUGAAAAGCCCGCUCGCCGGAAGACCAAGGGUUCCUGUCCAACGUUAAUCGGGGCAGGGUGAGUCGACCCCUAAGGCGAGGCCGAAAGGCGUAGUCGAUGGGAAACAGGUUAAUAUUCCUGUACUUGGUGUUACUGCGAAGGGGGGACGGAGAAGGCUAUGUUGGCCGGGCGACGGUUGUCCCGGUUUAAGCGUGUAGGCUGGUUUUCCAGGCAAAUCCGGAAAACCAAGGCUGAGGCGUGAUGACGAGGCACUACGGUGCUGAAGCGACAAAUGCCCUGCUUCCAGGAAAAGCCUCUAAGCAUCAGGUAACAUCAAAUCGUACCCCAAACCGACACAGGUGGUCAGGUAGAGAAUACCAAGGCGCUUGAGAGAACUCGGGUGAAGGAACUAGGCAAAAUGGUGCCGUAACUUCGGGAGAAGGCACGCUGAUAUGUAGGUGAAGCGACUUGCUCGUGGAGCUGAAAUCAGUCGAAGAUACCAGCUGGCUGCAACUGUUUAUUAAAAACACAGCACUGUGCAAACACGAAAGUGGACGUAUACGGUGUGACGCCUGCCCGGUGCCGGAAGGUUAAUUGAUGGGGUUAGCGGUAACGCGAAGCUCUUGAUCGAAGCCCCGGUAAACGGCGGCCGUAACUAUAACGGUCCUAAGGUAGCGAAAUUCCUUGUCGGGUAAGUUCCGACCUGCACGAAUGGCGUAAUGAUGGCCAGGCUGUCUCCACCCGAGACUCAGUGAAAUUGAACUCGCUGUGAAGAUGCAGUGUACCCGCGGCAAGACGGAAAGACCCCGUGAACCUUUACUAUAGCUUGACACUGAACAUUGAGCCUUGAUGUGUAGGAUAGGUGGGAGGCUUUGAAGUGUGGACGCCAGUCUGCAUGGAGCCGACCUUGAAAUACCACCCUUUAAUGUUUGAUGUUCUAACGUUGGCCCGUAAUCCGGGUUGCGGACAGUGUCUGGUGGGUAGUUUGACUGGGGCGGUCUCCUCCUAAAGAGUAACGGAGGAGCACGAAGGUUGGCUAAUCCUGGUCGGACAUCAGGAGGUUAGUGCAAUGGCAUAAGCCAGCUUGACUGCGAGCGUGACGGCGCGAGCAGGUGCGAAAGCAGGUCAUAGUGAUCCGGUGGUUCUGAAUGGAAGGGCCAUCGCUCAACGGAUAAAAGGUACUCCGGGGAUAACAGGCUGAUACCGCCCAAGAGUUCAUAUCGACGGCGGUGUUUGGCACCUCGAUGUCGGCUCAUCACAUCCUGGGGCUGAAGUAGGUCCCAAGGGUAUGGCUGUUCGCCAUUUAAAGUGGUACGCGAGCUGGGUUUAGAACGUCGUGAGACAGUUCGGUCCCUAUCUGCCGUGGGCGCUGGAGAACUGAGGGGGGCUGCUCCUAGUACGAGAGGACCGGAGUGGACGCAUCACUGGUGUUCGGGUUGUCAUGCCAAUGGCACUGCCCGGUAGCUAAAUGCGGAAGAGAUAAGUGCUGAAAGCAUCUAAGCACGAAACUUGCCCCGAGAUGAGUUCUCCCUGAGACUUAGAGUCUCCUGAAGGAACGUUGAAGACGACGACGUUGAUAGGCCGGGUGUGUAAGCGCAGCGAUGCGUUGAGCUAACCGGUACUAAUGAACCGUGAGGCUUAACCUU
This 2902-nucleotide ribosomal RNA is filed under the name Escherichia coli KTE7. RNAcentral's name for it is "bacterial LSU rRNA". It matches the Rfam family "Bacterial large subunit ribosomal RNA". Lineage: Bacteria; Pseudomonadati; Pseudomonadota; Gammaproteobacteria; Enterobacterales; Enterobacteriaceae. The record is from RNAcentral. RNAcentral also lists the same sequence under 3 other names.